RNAcentral lists this ribosomal RNA (274 nucleotides) under uncultured bacterium. RNAcentral describes it as "partial 16S ribosomal RNA". It matches the Rfam family "Bacterial small subunit ribosomal RNA", at positions 523 to 796 of the family's 1533-position model. The record is from RNAcentral.
AUACGGAGGGUGCGAACGUUAAUGGGAAUUACUGGGCGUAAAGCGCGCGUAGGCGGUUCGGUAAGUGGGAUGUGAAAGCCCUGGGCUCAACCUGGGAACUGCAUUCCAAACUGCCGGGCUAGAGUAUGGUAGAGGGAGGUAGAAUUUCCUGUGUAGCGGUGAAAUGCGUAGAUAUAGGAAGGAAUACCGAUGGCGAAGGCAGCCUCCUGGACCAAUACUGACGCUGAGGUGCGAAAGCGUGGGGAGCAAACAGGAUUAGAAACCCGGGUAGUCC